CAGUCGCCGCGGUAAGACGGAGGGUGCUAGCGUUGUUCGGAAUCACUGGGCGUAAAGGGCGCGUAGGCGGCCUGUUAAGUCGGAUUUGAAAGCCCGGGGCUCAACCCCGGAACUGCAUCCGAGACUGGCAGGCUUGAGACCGGGAGAGGAGGGUGGAAUAUCCAGUGUAGAGGUGAAAUUCGUAGAUAUUGGAUGGAACACCGGUGGCGAAAGCGGCUCUCUGGCCCGGAUCUGACGCUGAGGCGCGAAAGCGUGGGGAGCAAACAGGAUUAGAUACCCCCGUAGUCCCUGUCUCUUAUAC
RNAcentral lists this ribosomal RNA (301 nucleotides) under uncultured bacterium. RNAcentral's name for it is "partial 16S ribosomal RNA". It matches the Rfam family "Bacterial small subunit ribosomal RNA", at positions 509 to 807 of the family's 1533-position model. The record is from RNAcentral.